ACACUAGCAUACCUAAAACUAUUCUCUAGUCUAAUCUUAUCUUAUCAAGAGCAUACUCCUUUACUUGUGUUGACUAACAAAAAUCAACCACCACACUCCAUUGUGCAAGUACAAUCCAAACUCCUAUGCGUAUGGUUGGAGAUUAUUAUAAUACAACACUUUUUUUCCUUUAUUUAAUAAAAUUAUAAUAUGAGCAGCUCACACUCACAAAUAUCUCUGCUCUCUCUCUCCGAUUUUACACAACCAACCACCCACCAAUUCCCCAUAAAUUUAUUUGUUGAAGUUGAAUAGACCAAAGGAAACACCAUAGUCUUCCCCUUCAUUCUAGACAACACAUUCCAAGAUCCCCAAUUUUUAGCACACAUCACACACACUUGUGUGUGUGCGUAUCCGAGAAAUCGAGAAAGAUGCAUGAGAGACUAGAUGAAGACGUGGGUGACCGGCCACCUAGUCACGGCGGCGACUCGAUGGUGCAUGACGGCACAUGGUGGCUCGCUUAUUUUUUUUUCUUUGACCCGACUUUUCAACUAGUAACCUCAUCCUCUUGACUCCUCCAUUAGUUCUCCCCUAAAGGGCAAGACCAGGUGAUGGUGGUGAGGCCUUAAAGGACGUCACAACAGUAGCGUGGUGUCGAGCAAAGAUCGGACACAUGAGCAUCCAGAUCUGAGCAGAUCGUGUUUGUGCAUAUUGGUUCGUUUCCAACCGGAUUCACUUUUCGGGUUACUCCAGAACACGGCAAAGAACCGUCGCCGGCGGCCCUGGGGCCGGCCGGCAGCUGUGACGGUGGUGGUGGCUGGCCGACAACGACAGAUGAGGUGGUUUUGGGUUAGAUUACGAGCAAAGCGAGGGGGGUGUUGACGGAAACAGUGGUGUCUGGGUAUUGGUGACCGUAAUGGUGGUGGUGUUAAUUCGAGUCUCGGGUUAGAUGCGGGCUCCAGUUCAGAUUCAUGUUCGAGUUUUUGCUAGUCAAGUCUCGUGGUUCACUUUUAGUUCAAGCGGGUCAGAUGUUUCGGUUACGGGUGCGGGUUGGUUUCGGGACAUGGUUCGGGGUUUUGUUUGAUUUGGUUUUUGGUUCGGCUUGUGCGGUUCACACGGUUCGGCAGGUUCACCGUUCGGGUCAACGACUCGGGUCAACAGGCAGUCAACGGUCAACUGCCGGGUCAACAGAAAGUUAACACACGACCCGGUAAAGUUUAACGACGCGAAAUUUACGUAGAUUUUUGACUUUAUAAUAGUUAAACGCGACCGAGCUCGACCCGUUUCGUUUCGUUUUGGUGUUAGUUUACGUUUAUUAUUACUUGACGAAAAUUUAUAAUUGGAUUAUAUUAGUGAAUUGCGGUUGAAAAUUGUUGGAUUUUGAUAAAAAUAUAUCGACACCUA
Helianthus annuus (common sunflower) is the source of this 1380-nucleotide long non-coding RNA. RefSeq lists it as uncharacterized. NCBI's taxonomy places the organism in Eukaryota, Viridiplantae, Streptophyta, Magnoliopsida, Asterales, Asteraceae. The transcript has 2 exons. The record is from RefSeq and is a predicted model, not a curated record.